RNAcentral lists this ribosomal RNA (253 nucleotides) under uncultured bacterium. Its description in RNAcentral is "partial 16S ribosomal RNA". It matches the Rfam family "Bacterial small subunit ribosomal RNA", at positions 524 to 776 of the family's 1533-position model. The record is from RNAcentral.
UACGAAGGGGGCGAGCGUUGUUCGGAUUUACUGGGCGUAAAGGGCGCGCAGGCGGCUCUGAAAGUCAGAUGUGAAAGCCCCGGGCUUAACCUGGGAAUUGCAUUUGAUACUCUGGAGCUUGAGUACGGGAGAGGAGAGUGGAAUUCCCAGUGUAGAGGUGAAAUUCGUAGAUAUUGGGAAGAACACCGGUGGCGAAGGCGGUCUGCUGGGCCAAGACUGACGCUGAGGCGCGACAGCGUGGGGAGCAAACAGG